ACUGAAAAACUGUUGAUAGUGAUCAUCUGAACACAACGGUGAUUGAUUAGCUAAUUUAAAGAGCUGCUCUGCUGAUGAUUUGUCAGAGUUGGUGUGUGUCGCCUUAUUUUACUGCUAACUGAACCGAAACACAUCGCACAUGGACAUGCUAAGGUUGUCAAAGUCUAGCUAGCAUAACUGACAACUUCUCACUUUCUCUACAUUAUUUUUAAUUAAAACAUUUUCCUGACCACUGAAAUUGGACCUUUGUUAUCCAGUUAUUGUUGUGUUGUCAAAUAACAAAAAAAAUGGCGUUGUUUUUUGAUGUUAUUUUUGUUACUGUGUCAUUUUUCCGACCACAGAUAUUCCUGACUCAAAGCACAGCCAUGGCGCGCGCUAACUGACGUGAUGUCCAAUCCAGUAUUACAUUAAUGAUCCAACUGCAGCUAUUUUUAACUUCAAUACUGAUUUAUUAAUUAAAAUGUUUAAUUAAGCCGGAACCGGACUCCAUGCUUCUCUAGCUGCAGUCCAGGUGUGCUGGACUGCACACCUGGUGCCGUUUCCCUCAGUUACC
Long non-coding RNA from Poecilia latipinna (sailfin molly), 553 nucleotides. RefSeq lists it as uncharacterized. The transcript is spliced from 3 exons. The record is from RefSeq and is a predicted model, not a curated record. NCBI's taxonomy places the organism in Eukaryota, Metazoa, Chordata, Actinopteri, Cyprinodontiformes, Poeciliidae.